UGGGGAAUAUUGCACAAUGGGCGCAAGCCUGAUGCAGCCAUGCCGCGUGUAUGAAGAAGGCCUUCGGGUUGUAAAGUACUUUCAGCGGGGAGGAAGGGAGUAAAGUUAAUACCUUUGCUCAUUGACGUUACCCGCAGAAGAAGCACCGGCUAACUCCGUGCCAGCAGCCGCGGUAAUACGGAGGGUGCAAGCGGUAAUCGGAAUUACUGGGCGUAAAGCGCACGCAGGCGGUUUGUUAAGUCAGAUGUGAAAUCCCCGGGCUCAACCUGGGAACUGCAUCUGAUACUGGCAAGCUUGAGUCUCGUAGAGGGGGGUAGAAUUCCAGGUGUAGCGGUGAAAUGCGUAGAGAUCUGGAGGAAUACCGGUGGCGAAGGCGGCCCCCUGGACGAAGACUGACGCUCAGGUGCGAAAGCGUGGGGAGCAAACA
This 427-nucleotide ribosomal RNA is filed under the name uncultured bacterium. RNAcentral describes it as "partial 16S ribosomal RNA". It matches the Rfam family "Bacterial small subunit ribosomal RNA", at positions 355 to 774 of the family's 1533-position model. The record is from RNAcentral.